ACAUCUUUGGUGUAGUGGUAACAUAAUUGCCUUCCAAGCAAUUGCCAGGGGUUCGAUUCCCCUAAGAUGUA
Molecule: transfer RNA, 71 nt
Filed under: bacterium
Lineage: Bacteria
Description: tRNA-Gly
Rfam family: tRNA
About the family: Transfer RNA (tRNA) molecules are approximately 80 nucleotides in length.
Source: RNAcentral